GACGAACGCUGGCGGCGUGCUUAACACAUGCAAGUCGAACGGAAAGACCCUGCUCUUGUGGGGUGCUCGAGUGGCGAACGGGUGAGUAACACGUGUGUAUCCUCCCCCUGACUGUCGGAUAACUUCUGGAAACAGGGGCUCUUACCGCAUAGGAUCUCCUGAUGCGCGGUGGGGGUUGGAAAGAUUCGGCGGUUGGGGCUGGACUCGCUGCUUAUCAGCUGGUUGGUGGGGUUGGGGCUUACCAAGGCUUCGACGGGUAGCCGGCCUGGGAGGGUUAACGGCGACAUGGGGACUGAGAGACGGACCAGUCGCGAAUCGGAGGCAGCAGUGGGGAGUAUUGCAGAAUGAGGGGGAGCCUGAUGCGGCAACGCCGCGUGCGGGAAGACGGCUUUCUGGGUGUAAACCGCUUUCGCCUGUGACGAAGCGUGAGUGACGGUAAUGGGUAAAAAAGCACCGGCUAACUACGUG
Molecule: ribosomal RNA, 468 nt
Filed under: uncultured bacterium
Lineage: Bacteria
Description: partial 16S ribosomal RNA
Rfam family: Bacterial small subunit ribosomal RNA
Source: RNAcentral